GGCCCUACGGGGCGCAGCAGGCGCGAAAACUUUACAAUGCGGGAAACCGUGAUAGGGGAACUCCGAGUGCCCGUAAAAUCGGGCUGUCCACCAGUUUAAAUAACUGGUGAAGAAAGGGCCGGGCAAGACCGGUGCCAGCCGCCGCGGUAAUACCGGCGGCUCGAGUGGUGGCCACUAUUACUGGGCUUAAAGCGUUCGUAGCUGGUUUGUUAAGUCUCUGGGGAAAUCUUCCGGCUUAACCGGAAGGCGUCUCAGGGAUACUGGCAGACUAGGGACCGGGAGAGGUGAGGGGUACUCCAGGGGUAGGAGUGAAAUCCUGUAAUCCUUGGGGGACCACCUGUGGCGAAGGCGCCUCACCAGAACGGCUCCGACAGUGAGGGACGAAAGCUGGGGGAGCAAACCGGAUUAGAUACCCGGGUAGUCCCAGCUGUAAACGAUGCGCGUUAGGUGUAUCAGUGACCACGAGUCACUGAGGUGCCGAAGAGAAAUCGUGAAACGUGCCGCCUGGGAAGUACGGUCGCAAGGCUGAAACU
RNAcentral lists this ribosomal RNA (533 nucleotides) under uncultured archaeon. Its description in RNAcentral is "bacterial SSU rRNA". It matches the Rfam family "Archaeal small subunit ribosomal RNA", at positions 319 to 856 of the family's 1478-position model. The record is from RNAcentral.